Pteronotus mesoamericanus is the source of this 515-nucleotide long non-coding RNA. RefSeq lists it as uncharacterized. Lineage: Eukaryota; Metazoa; Chordata; Mammalia; Chiroptera; Mormoopidae. The record is from RefSeq and is a predicted model, not a curated record. The transcript has 3 exons.
UAGGAGUUCCCCCAACAACUGAAUCACAGCUGCAAGUUUGCACUGAAGGCUGAGAAAUCAUGCGCCUGCCUUUUUGAGCCAUUAGGGGGGAAGAUGAACACAGAAGAAGGCUGGGAACAGCUCCUGCUAGGUUACCGCCUAUGGAUGCCCUCAGUCCCACCCAGGGACCUGCUUGAGAGCAUGGGCUCUAAUCACUCACCUCUACUGCUCCCAAAUGCCACUCCUCUAGGAGAGUUCACUUUCAGGCAGGGAGAAGAAUGGUUCCAGUCCUGGCCCUGAAAUACAUAUGUCUCAAGAAGUCACUGAAUCUCUCUGAGAUUUAUCUGUCUAUAAACUGGGACCAACACCUACAGCAGGAUUACUGUAAGGGUUAAUACAAAAUAGCAUAAGAAAUGCACCAAAUAUAUAGGUAGUUGCUCCCGAAUGCUAGUUUAAAGGGCUCGCCUGCUUCAGAAUGUCGUUGGAAGAAGAAAAAGACUGUAGGUACCUGGAGCAAAGUGACAGGGAUAUGGAGA